UACGUAGGGGGCGAGCGUUGUCCGGAUUUAUUGGGCGUAAAGAGCGUGUAGGCGGCCAGGUAGGUCUGCUGUGAAAACUCGAGGCUCAACCUCGAGACGUCGGCGGAAACCAUCUGGCUAGAGUCCGGAAGAGGAGAGUGGAAUUCCUGGUGUAGCGGUGAAAUGCGCAGAUAUCAGGAGGAACACCAAUUGCGAAGGCAGCUCGCUGGGACGUCACUGACGCUGAGACGCGAAAGCGUGGGGAGCAAACAGG
RNAcentral lists this ribosomal RNA (253 nucleotides) under uncultured bacterium. Its description in RNAcentral is "partial 16S ribosomal RNA". It matches the Rfam family "Bacterial small subunit ribosomal RNA", at positions 524 to 776 of the family's 1533-position model. The record is from RNAcentral.